CUUUUUUUCUCUCUCUCUCUCUCUGUCACAGGGCGUGUGCAUGCGCGGGGGAGAAGGAAUGUGGACAGGGGCGCCUGCCGCUUGCCUUGCUUGAGCAACCGUUGACGUUCCCGCUCACCCCGGCCCGUGGCAUGAACGUGUGCGUGCGUGUGCGCGCGUUCUCACGGGUCCAGCAAGCACCACGCCCUGAAACUUCGCUCGCUUGUGCAAAGAAAUGGGAAGAUGCUUGCUCACUGGGAAGUAAAGGUUUCAACAAAAACACCACACGGAAUGCCUUUAAACAUACUCAAAACGGCAGUGAACGCUUUAUGGCGCAUUCUUUCUCUCCUUCUGUCUCACAAACAUACACAUACACACGCACCAUUGUAUACGUAUGUGCAAGUGGGGGAGUGAUUGGAAGAGCCAGGGCCUGCUUCUACUAGUGAAUGACGUCACAGGAUUGGUUGAAACGCACCCACCCGUGUCGCUGACCAAUCAGCUGCAGUAUUGCUGGAAGUUGAGCUCUCCAUCACUGCUCUUGUCCAAUAGGCAGGAGCAAAUUUGUGCUAAGUGAAUGUGUCACCUUGAACAGUUAAUUGAGACUUCAACGCAAGCAGAUGUGGUUGAGGCAAUAUUUGGAGCUCUACCACUAUCUGGUGGACUUAACUGAACUGCAUGCACAUUUAAAUAAAUAAAUAAAUAAAUAAAAAUGAAGCAUGGAAUUUUCCACACUUGGAAGUCAGGAGUUACUAUUUUUACAAAAGACACACUGAAAAUAUUGUGUUAAGCCAUUAUUAUAUUGCAGAAAGUACAAAGUUGUUUCAUUACAUAGGAUUAAGAAUGAUUUUGUUGGACGUAUAAUUACCUUGUCAGGACACACCCCUACCAAGAAUACAACGGGUCAGAUGACUGUAAACACAGGGCCGUUGUUGUGAGUCACCAGUUUAACUUUGUGUAAUUGCUGCCGUAUCUGUCUACAUCUGCAAGUACUUGCUAGUAGAUGACUAAACAUACCAUUGAGUGUCUUGUCUUGCGACACACAUUCUGAACAGUUCCCAGGUGUCCGAACACACAUCUGUGGCUUUGGUUCAAAUACCCCACAGGGUCGAGAACGACAGCAAACUUAUCUCAUUUUAACGGUUGAAACGGGUGAAGUGCUCCAGCGAGUGAAAACAAAGUCAUAAAACUGGCACAAUUACACCGCCCGCGUCGCCUAAAACUUUUUCCGAACGAGUCACUUGGGCUCAGCGACUGACAGGCCUUAUUAGUUUAGCUAAAGCCCUGACAAGAUGUGGAUUAGGGAGACAGUUAUAGCGCUAACAAGCUCUGUGGCUUCAUCAUCCAAAACCUACUUUGCAGAAGUUUUCAGGUCCCCAACAUCCUGAGUCAUUAGUGAGGAAGGAGAGUGCAGCUGCGCAUAUUUGAGUUUAUACACCAUCAAUCAAAAUGGCUAGUAGGAUGUCAAAAGAACUUUGUGGCUCUUUAUAUAAAAUUAUUACAAAAUUAUUGUAUUACAUAUGCCAGGUUUUUGUGAUGGGGGGGGGAUCAGAGCAAGAUAAAUCAUUUCAAAGGUUUCACCUUUUACAUGUACGAAGGCAGCAGAACAGUGGUUAAGUGGUCUGUAGGUGUGGCAGAAGAGUUUAAGGGGGAGGUGGGACUGGAUCAGGGAUCGUCUCUGAGCCCCUUCCUGUUUGCAGUGGUGAUGGCUAGGCUGACAGAUGAGGUUAGACUGGAAUCCCCGUGGACCACGAUGUUCGCAGAUGACAUUGUGAUCUGAAGUGUAAGCAGGGAGCAGGUGGAGGAACAUUAAGAAAAUGGGAGGCAUGCGCUGGAAAGGAGAGGAAUGAAGAUUAGCUGAAGUAAGACAGAAUACAUGUACAUGAAUGAGAGGGGUCGAGGGGGAAGAGUGAGGCUACAGGGAGAAGAGAUAGUGAGGUUGGAGGACUUUAAAUACUUGGGGUCAACAGUCCAGAGUCUACAGUUCUCUCUAGGAGUGGCAAGGUUGGACAGAAUUAGAAAUGAGCUGAUUAGAGGGACAGCCAAGGUUAGAUGUUUUGGAGACAAAGUUAGAGAGAGCAGACUACGAUGGUUUGGACAGUCACAGGAAAUAUAGUGAGUAUACUGUUAGAAGGAUGAUGAGGAUGGAGCUGCCAGGCAAGAGAGCUCGAGGAAGACCAAAGAGAAGGUUGAUGGAAGUAGUGGGGGAAGACAUGAAAGCAGUUGGUGUUAGAGAUGAGGAUGCAGCUCAGCUUACAUGGAAAAGGAUGACGUGUGAGACAGGCUGAAAGGCAAAGAAGAAUGUGACAUAUUACCUGUAAAACAACCACUUUCAUACUCAGCUUUAAUGAAAACAUCAAUGGUGUCUCCUGUCACGGAGUAAAACAUACACAGUGUCAAAGCGGAAGUCAAAGUUUGUCAUACAAGAUGAACAACUUUGGAUCCAUGCUCACAAGAUAUAGUUAUAAUUUUCUGCUUGUGAUCUCAAUAUGGCAGCCCCAUCAACAUGAUAAGUCUGCCAAGCAACACAUUCAACAAAAAUGGCCCACGAAGCUGCUCAGAAAACAUAUAUUAGCUGUCAUGUUUAGGGCAGUGAUUUUUAAAGUGUGUUACGUAUAUGUACUGGUGGUUUUUAAAGAUCACUAAGGCCUACUAUGCUACUGGUAAUGGCUGGAGAGGCAAUUUUUAUUUUAUUUUUUUCUAAGAUGGUACUUGUAAAAUUUUGAGAACCACCGGUUUAGGGCAUUAGGGUUAUUACUGUUUUUUCAACAAAGCCGAUAGACUGGGAUUCUAUAUUUGUAGUCGCCGGGAUCUCAAAUUUGGGUCGUAACCCACACGUGUUAUAGGUUGUUUUGUACAGGGGAAAACGCCGGCCAAAGACAAAUAUAUGCCAUCGCUGAUGAAACUGAAAAAAUGCUUAUAUGACAAAUUUCAAAAGCCCCUUGAAAACCAACAUAGAACUUUGACCCAACAUGGUAGCUUCCCGUCACAGCCAAAAGCUACAUAUUGUGUUAAAAAAAAAACUAUUUAAAAGUCCUUAUAAAACAAAGAAAUCUAAGCAGUAUUUAAAAACAAAGAGUCUCUGUCAAUGCAACCAUGAACAAAAACGAUUACUCCUACCUCGAAAGUCUUCUUUAGAAACAAAUAGUUUCAGAAAAGGUACUCCGUAGCUGUGUGGCUAAAUGCUAACCCAGAAUUCUUCCCAACAUGCUUCCGGGUCGACUGAUCCAAUAUAGUGGCUUCUGAUUGAUCAGAUAAGACGUCAAUCAACUAAAUUGACCAGAAGCAAGAAAAUAAAAACUCGAGUUUACUUAAAAUCACCAUAGUUCACUCGUUUCACUUUAAGUAAAUAUUCAAUCUAUACACAGUGGAUAUCUGUGUAUAGAUACCAUCCAUUUUCUACAGAUCCUGUCCUCAUUAGGGUCACGGGUAAGCUGAAACCUUUCUCAGCUGACUUUGGGCGAUAGGUAGGGUACACCCUGGACUGGUCGCCAGCCAAUCACAGGUCACAUAUAGCCAAAUAACACUCACAUUCCCACCUAUGAGCAAUUAAGAGACUUCAAGUACCUAAAAUGAAUGAUUUGGGAAUGUGGGAAGAAGCUGGAGUAUCUGGAGAAAGUGCAGGAAUAACUAAACACAGGAAGGCACGAGCUGGGAUUCGAAUGCCAAAUCUCAAAACCGCAAGACGGAUGUAAUGCAACUGUGACUGUUGACAAAGUCUUGUGUGUGAACAGAACAGGCCCUGAGACUGUUUGAUGCCCACAUUUUAUUAACCUGCUGCCAUGGUAACAAAGGUGACAAGUAUGAAAGUUUCAACAACAAAAAAAGCUCUGCAUGCUGCCACACAGCAUGUGAUGCCACAUUAGUAAAUCAUCAGUCAACCUAAUAAUACAGUGUUACCUUCAAAAUGAAACACAAAUUAAGGACUUUAGUGCACAGAAUGACUUA
This is a long non-coding RNA of Phyllopteryx taeniolatus (common seadragon), 3924 nucleotides long. RefSeq lists it as uncharacterized. The transcript is spliced from 2 exons. NCBI's taxonomy places the organism in Eukaryota, Metazoa, Chordata, Actinopteri, Syngnathiformes, Syngnathidae. The record is from RefSeq and is a predicted model, not a curated record.